ACGUAGGGGGCAAGCGUUAUCCGGAAUUACUGGGUGUAAAGGGUGCGUAGGCGGCGAUUUAAGUCAGAUGUGAAAACUCAGGGCUCAACCUUGAGACUGCAUCUGAAACUGAGUUGCUAGAGUGCAGGAGAGGAAAGCGGAAUUCCGAGUGUAGCGGUGAAAUGCGUAGAGAUUCGGAGGAACACCAGUAGCGAAGGCGGCUUUCUGGACUGUAACUGACGCUGAGGCACGAAAGCGUGGGGAGCGAACAG
This 251-nucleotide ribosomal RNA is filed under the name uncultured prokaryote. Its description in RNAcentral is "partial 16S rRNA". It matches the Rfam family "Bacterial small subunit ribosomal RNA", at positions 525 to 775 of the family's 1533-position model. The record is from RNAcentral.